Non-coding RNA from Ictidomys tridecemlineatus (thirteen-lined ground squirrel), 1425 nucleotides. Lineage: Eukaryota; Metazoa; Chordata; Mammalia; Rodentia; Sciuridae. The record is from RefSeq and is a predicted model, not a curated record.
CUCUCUCUCUCUCUCUCUCUCUGCUUCCUGGUGCCAUGUCCUGAGCUGCUUUCCCCUACUACACACUUCCACCAUGAUGUUCUGCCUCCAGCCCUGAGGAAUGGAGUAGAACUUCUGUGGAUUGGGAUCUUUGAAAAUGCGGGCAUCCCGUGGAGAAUCUGCUGCAUGUGACACCAGAACAGUGCCUGUGCCGCCCGCUGGAUGACAGUGCUGUCCUCUGAAGUGGGAUCACAGGGAAGCAGCUGGAACAGGACAGAGUGUGGGGGACUCAGACGUUCAGGGGCGCUCCUGCCAGGCAAAGAUCUCCGGUGAUGGUGAUGAUUUCCAUAAUCUUGUCACCUUAAUUGCUGCUGUCACUGCAAGAAUCUGACAGCUAUCUAGGACUGCGGCUUUUCUAUUGUGGCUCAUGAUUUCUCAGUCACACGGAGGUGACACCUGAGAAGGGACAACCAGCAGCUUCCUGCUUGUACCUGCCCAACUCCGGAGUCCACUGAGGGCCGAAGGAAACAAGUACCACAAUCAGAAGCCAGACCCAUGACCCAAAAGAGCUCCCUCUUGUGACAAGCUGCUGGCUCCCGGCUCUUAUGGACACCCUCAGCCCCAUCUGAUACCUCUGCAGCUACUGAUCUGUUUCUUCUGUGCAGUUUGCCAUUUGGUGGAAGGUGGAGAGGCACAGAGAGAAGAAACAAGUUUGAUUUUUUAGUUUGAUUUUUUUAACUCAGAAUCACUGAGUGAAUUUCAAAUGUUCUCUUUACAAAAACAUGUUAAAUAUUUAAGGUGAUGGAUUUGUUAAUUAUCUUGACUUAAUCACCCAACGUUGUAUUUAAAAGUCCUAGCACCUCUUUGUACCCCCUUCAGUAUAUAUAGAACUAUUAUUUGUCAAUAUGUAACUUUACAAAGAAUAGCAUAUAUGAAUGGGAUUGUAUCACAUGUAACCUUGUAAGAUUGACUUGUUUUGCUAAACAUAUUGUCUUGAGAUCCCCUGGGAUACUGUGUGCAUCAGUCUGAGUGGACCAGAAUAUGUAUCACCAUUCAUCUGUUCAAGGAAAUGUGGAUUGUUUUCUUUUUUUUUUUGCUAUUAAGAAUAAAGCUGCUAUGAACAGUCAUGCACAGAUUGAGAUUCUCUGGCAUACAUCAUUUUAAAAUCCCCACUUUUAAAAUACAGCAUCCUGUUGUAAGCAUUUCUCCGUGUCAUUAUUUAUUCUCUGAAAGCUGUUUUAAUGACUGUAUAAUAUUCUAACCAUAUGGAAGUAACUCAAUUAUUUAACCACAUCCCUAUAAGUUCAUGUUUCCUUGAAGCUUAUCAGCAGCAUACCAGAUGUGCUUUAGAAUUUUCUUCUCCUUCUCAUAGCAAAUCUUUUAAAAAAAUGUGUGCACUUUCUCUGCAUUUUGAAUAUAAUGUUCCAUUUCAUUUAUGAUUCGAAG